Molecule: ribosomal RNA, 120 nt
Filed under: uncultured bacterium
Lineage: Bacteria
Description: partial 16S ribosomal RNA
Rfam family: Bacterial small subunit ribosomal RNA
Source: RNAcentral
AAUGAACGUUGGCGGCAUGGAUUAGGCAUGCAAGUCGUACGCUUAGCGUAGCAAUACGCGAGGAGUGGCGAAAGGGAGAGGAAUACGUGGGAACCUACCUUCGGGCCUGGAAUAGCGGCG